GACGAACGCUGGCGGCGUGCUUAACACAUGCAAGUCGAGCGGAAAGGCCCUUCGGGGUACUCGAGCGGCGAACGGGUGAGUAACACGUGAGUAACCUGCCCCAGACUUUGGGAUAACCCUCGGAAACGGGGCGUAAUACCGGAUAUGACAUGAGAUCGCAUGGUCUUCAUGUGGAAAGUUUUUCGGUUUGGGUAGUGGGCGUCGCGGCCUAUCAGCUUGUUGGUGGGGUGAUGGCCUACCAAGGCGACGACGGGUAGCCGGCCUGAGAGGGCGACCGGCCACACUGGGACUGAGACACGGCCCAGACUCCUACGGGAGGCAGCAGUGGGGAAUAUUGCACAAUGGGCGGAAGCCUGAUGCAGCGACGCCGCGUGAGGGAUGACGGCCUCGGUUGUAA
This 397-nucleotide ribosomal RNA is filed under the name uncultured bacterium. RNAcentral's name for it is "bacterial SSU rRNA". It matches the Rfam family "Bacterial small subunit ribosomal RNA", at positions 28 to 428 of the family's 1533-position model. The record is from RNAcentral.